Non-coding RNA from Pelobates cultripes (western spadefoot toad), 88 nucleotides. The record is from the annotation of a GenBank genome assembly. Lineage: Eukaryota; Metazoa; Chordata; Amphibia; Anura; Pelobatidae.
GUAUGUGUGGUGAUUCGGCAGUGUAUUGUUAGUUUGCUGUUGUACCAAAACCAGCAGCUACCUACACUACCACAUUAUCACAUGGCAU